GACGAACGCUGGCGGCGUGCUUAACACAUGCAAGUCGAACGGAAAGGCCCUGCUUUUGUGGGGUUCUCGAGUGGCGAACUGGUGAGUAACACGUGAGUAACCUGCCCUUUACUUUGGUAUAACUUCAGGAAACUGGGGCUAAUACCGGAUAUGACCACCUCCUGCAUGGUGGUGUUUGGAAAGUUUCGGCGGUUGGGGAUGGACUCGCGGCUUAUCAGCUUGUUGGUGGGGUAUUGUCUUACCAAGGCUUUGGCGGAUAGCCGGCCUGAGAGGGUGACCGGCAACAUUGGGACUGAGAUACGGCCCAGACUCCUGCGGGGGGCAGCAGUGGGGAAUAUUGCACAAUGGGCGGAAGCCUGAUGCAGCAACGCCGCGUGCGGGAUGACGGCAUUCGGGUUGUAAACCGCUUUCGCCUGUGACGAAGCGUGAGUGACGGUAAUGGGUAAAGAAGCACCGGCUAACUACGUG
Molecule: ribosomal RNA, 468 nt
Filed under: uncultured bacterium
Lineage: Bacteria
Description: partial 16S ribosomal RNA
Rfam family: Bacterial small subunit ribosomal RNA
Source: RNAcentral